UGUGCUCACUGAACACGUGGUUACAGAGUGCUCUGGACAAGAGGAAGAUCUAUCACCUGACCAGUGGGGAUGGAGUGAACAGUGACUGGAACCCAAGGCUGGGUGACAAGAGUGGUGUCAUUUCACUGGCUUGGGGAACCAAAUGGCACCCAAAGGGAGUGGUUCAAGCCCUCUACAGCCACCUGCACUCUCAGCAGUAUUUAAGGGCAGGGGUGCUUUUAUUUAUUUAUGCAAGCUGCUGAGAGUCCUGCAAAUGGAUCUCGUCGAACAGACACGGUUUCCACGACCAUAUUUCAGUGGGAUGUGAUGAGAGUGCCACAUGCUGAGUUCCUGCAGAAUCACUUCUUCAGAAGACAGAAAUUUCUAUUGGGUACUUAGAACCAAGCAAUAGGGAUGCCGUGCACUCUGUUAACAUCACUUGCUCCUGGUGGCAGAAAAGCAGCAAUCAACACCCUGACCACAACCACGGCGAGCAGCAACGGGGC
Molecule: long non-coding RNA, 485 nt
Organism: Corapipo altera (White-ruffed manakin)
Lineage: Eukaryota; Metazoa; Chordata; Aves; Passeriformes; Pipridae
Exons: 4
Source: RefSeq, a predicted model, not a curated record